This 114-nucleotide small nuclear RNA is filed under the name Nomascus leucogenys (northern white-cheeked gibbon). RNAcentral's name for it is "U2 spliceosomal RNA (ENSNLEG00000032000.1)". It matches the Rfam family "U2 spliceosomal RNA". Rfam says of the family: U2 is a small nuclear RNA (snRNA) component of the spliceosome (involved in pre-mRNA splicing). Lineage: Eukaryota; Metazoa; Chordata; Mammalia; Primates; Hylobatidae. The record is from RNAcentral.
AUCGCUUCUCGGCCUUUAUGGCUAAGAUCAAGUGUAGUAUCUGUUCUUAUCAGUUUAAUCAUAUAUAUGUGUGUGUGUGUGUAGUUGACAUAUUGCUGCAAAUACAUACUGUGC